Molecule: long non-coding RNA, 301 nt
Filed under: Vigna radiata
Lineage: Eukaryota; Viridiplantae; Streptophyta; Magnoliopsida; Fabales; Fabaceae
Description: long non-coding RNA (VRAD_LNC007691)
Source: RNAcentral
GAGGGAGGAUGUUGGAGUGCAAACAAAGUCCCACAUUGAGUGAAAUAAGGAUUGGUCAAGAGUUUAUAUACACAUAGAUAUCUCCAAUGGUAAGAGGCCUUUUGGAGUGGUACCAAAAGCAAACCCGUGAGGGCUUGGCCCAAAGCGGACAAUGUCUUACCAUGUGUGGAGUUCUAUGUGUGUGUCGAACCUCCCCCCAUCAUGUUUCUCAUCUUUUUCGUUCUUUGUCAUGGUGGUGCAACCUUGUAUCUCCGCUCUGUAAUGGUGGAGCCAUAAGAUGCUCUUUCAUCUUCAACGUCCA